Molecule: ribosomal RNA, 335 nt
Filed under: Petracola ventrimaculatus
Lineage: Eukaryota; Metazoa; Chordata; Lepidosauria; Squamata; Gymnophthalmidae
Description: partial 12S ribosomal RNA
Rfam family: Bacterial small subunit ribosomal RNA
Source: RNAcentral
GUCCGCCAGAAAAUUACGAGCGAAAGCCUAAAACUCAAAAGACUUGACGGUGCCCCAACCUUCCUAGAGGAGCCUGUUCCAUAAUCGACACCCCACGAUAUACCUAACCACCCUUAGUAAUUUUUCAGCCUAUAUACCGCCGUCGUACAGCCUACCUUUUAAAAGAAUACAAGUAGGCCAAAUAGUAAUAUACUAACAAGUCAGGUCAAGGUGUAGCUUAUACGGUGGAGGAAAUGGGCUACAUUGUUUAUACUAAACGAUACGAACUUUAUACCUAUGAAAAAAGAAAAUGAAGGCGGAUUUAGCAGUAAUUUAAACAAGAAUAUUUAAAUUAA